CAGAGGGCGUGAAACCGCUUAGAAUAAAACGGACGGAGCCGUCAGGAGCCUUCGGGACUCAGUCGUCUGUAUGGCGAAAACGUAGCGUUCGGAGAACGUAAAGUCUUCGGCGUUGCGUUAGUAGUCGAUAGUCGACGCAUUUCUCGAGGGCAAGCAUCGCAACCGAUACGAAAGGCUAGCGAGGCGAUUGGGUUGAGGUCUAGUUCCUUCGCGGGAGCUAGUUUCCAGCCUUUUCGCGCGAGUCGUUAGACCGCAGUAUGUAUCGAGCGUCUAAAAACGUAUACGUCGGCUAAAAAGCUCGUCGUGCGAUGGAUAGUCGGUUAAUUAGUUGGUUACUUGCUUGCAGGUACCGACGAGUUUGGCUGUCUCAGAAGUCGCCGGCGACAUAGACGUAUUGGCGUUAGCGAUGUCAGUGUCGGUCGCCCGUCCGACCCGUCUUGAAACACGGACCAAGGAGUCUAACAUAUGCGCGAGCUAAUAGGUGUAAAACCUAUAGGCGCAAUAAAAGUAAACGCUGUUUCGGACAGCCGAGGUACGAUCCUAGAUUCGCUCUAGGCGCAGUACCGUCUCAUCCCUAAGGCACGUCCUAAGGGUGAAGAUAGAGUGCAUACGUUGGGACCCGAAAGAUGGUGAACUAUGCCUGAGCAGAGCGAAGCCAGAGGAAACUCUGGUGGAGGUUCGUAGCGGUUCUGACGUGCAAAUCGAUCGUCAGACUUGGGUAUAGGGGCGAAAGACUAAUCGAACCAUC
RNAcentral lists this ribosomal RNA (748 nucleotides) under Pungentus engadinensis. RNAcentral's name for it is "partial large subunit ribosomal RNA". It matches the Rfam family "Eukaryotic large subunit ribosomal RNA", at positions 391 to 944 of the family's 3401-position model. Lineage: Eukaryota; Metazoa; Nematoda; Enoplea; Dorylaimida; Nordiidae. The record is from RNAcentral.